GUCCCUGUGGCUCAGUUGGUAGAGCAUUGCACUUUCAACGCCAGGGUUGUGGGUUCAAUUACCACAGGGGACC
Molecule: transfer RNA, 73 nt
Filed under: Salmo salar (Atlantic salmon)
Lineage: Eukaryota; Metazoa; Chordata; Actinopteri; Salmoniformes; Salmonidae
Rfam family: tRNA
About the family: Transfer RNA (tRNA) molecules are approximately 80 nucleotides in length. Their secondary structure includes four short double-helical elements and three loops (D, anti-codon, and T loops). Further hydrogen bonds mediate the characteristic L-shaped molecular structure. tRNAs have two regions of fundamental functional importance: the anti-codon, which is responsible for specific mRNA codon recognition, and the 3' end, to which the tRNAs corresponding amino acid is attached (by aminoacyl-tRNA synthetases). tRNAs cope with the degeneracy of the genetic code in two manners: having more than one tRNA (with a specific anti-codon) for a particular amino acid; and 'wobble' base-pairing, i.e. permitting non-standard base-pairing at the 3rd anti-codon position.
Source: Rfam by way of RNAcentral